UGUGCCAGCAGCCGCGGUAAUACGUAGGGUGCGAGCGUUGUCCGGAAUUAUUGGGCGUAAAGGGCUCGUAGGCGGUUUGUCGCGUCGGGAGUGAAAACUCAGGGCUUAACUCUGAGCUUGCUUCCGAUACGGGCAGACUAGAGGUAUGCAGGGGAGAACGGAAUUCCUGGUGUAGCGGUGAAAUGCGCAGAUAUCAGGAGGAACACCGGUGGCGAAGGCGGUUCUCUGGGCAUUACCUGACGCUGAGGAGCGAAAGUGCGGGGAGCG
RNAcentral lists this ribosomal RNA (267 nucleotides) under uncultured Actinomycetales bacterium. RNAcentral's name for it is "partial 16S ribosomal RNA". It matches the Rfam family "Bacterial small subunit ribosomal RNA", at positions 504 to 770 of the family's 1533-position model. The record is from RNAcentral. Lineage: Bacteria; Bacillati; Actinomycetota; Actinomycetes; Actinomycetales.